AUGCGGAGAAGGUGGCCCGGGUCGGCGUUGGCGCCAUCCGGCGCGGGCCACGGGUCCGCUUCCAAAUGCGUCUGCAAGCCGGCCACCCACGCCGGGUCAUUCAAGUGCCGCUUCCACCGCACCAACUCCCAGGGCCACGGCCAGGGCCAGGGAAGCCGCCCUUCACCGGUCGCGGCCAACGCGGUGCUGCGGCACCCGACCUCGCCGUCCUUGUCCUCCGGCAUCGUCGCGACCUAG
RNAcentral lists this ribosomal RNA (237 nucleotides) under Triticum aestivum (bread wheat). RNAcentral's name for it is "partial small subunit ribosomal RNA". Lineage: Eukaryota; Viridiplantae; Streptophyta; Magnoliopsida; Poales; Poaceae. The record is from RNAcentral.